GUUGAUGCAGGGCUGACUUGGGACAAACUUAUGAACUGAAACCGUAUGUCUUCCAUGAGCUGAAAUGAAGCAUAUAGAAUUCCGAGCUCGGUAUUUUCAAGUGGUAUUGGAGCUGACUUUCAUUCAACUCGUACUGAACCGACCUCAUGUUGAUAGCAAUGGUACGGUAAGGUUCGGAUGUGAUUUGAAAGGCGUAUUGAGGGGCAUGACAUGGUGUGGAUAGGAAUGAUGAAACUGAAGAUGGUUUUUAACUAAAGACAUGGUUUAGAAUAGGCUUCCAACAUUGUGUCUUUAAAUUUUGUGAAGAUGUAAGGAUACUUUGGUGGGAUUGGAACGGUCGAAUGUAUUUGUAUUUUGAAAUUGGUUUCUGAAUUUUGUAAAGGGUUUUCUUUUAAUGACUUUUC
Vicia villosa (hairy vetch) is the source of this 404-nucleotide long non-coding RNA. RefSeq lists it as uncharacterized. Lineage: Eukaryota; Viridiplantae; Streptophyta; Magnoliopsida; Fabales; Fabaceae. The record is from RefSeq and is a predicted model, not a curated record. The transcript has 3 exons.